GACGAACGCUGGCGGCGUGCCUAAUACAUGCAAGUAGAACGCUGAAGGAGGAGCUUGCUCUUCUGGAUGAGUUGCGAACGGGUGAGUAACGCGUAGGUAACCUGCCUGGUAGCGGGGGAUAACUAUUGGAAACGAUAGCUAAUACCGCAUAACAGUAGAUGUUGCAUGACAUUUACUUAAAAGGUGCAAUUGCAUCACUACCAGAUGGACCUGCGUUGUAUUAGCUAGUUGGUGGGGUAACGGCUCACCAAGGCGACGAUACAUAGCCGACCUGAGAGGGUGAUCGGCCACACUGGGACUGAGACACGGCCCAGACUCCUACGGGAGGCAGCAGUAGGGAAUCUUCGGCAAUGGACGGAGGUCUGACCGAGCAACGCCGCGUGAGUGAAGAAGGUUUUCGGAUCGUAAAGCUCUGUUGUAAGAGAAGAACGAGUGUGAGAGUGGAAAGUUCACACUGUGACGGUAUCUUACCAGAAAGGGACGGCUAACUACGUG
This 495-nucleotide ribosomal RNA is filed under the name uncultured bacterium. Its description in RNAcentral is "partial 16S ribosomal RNA". It matches the Rfam family "Bacterial small subunit ribosomal RNA", at positions 28 to 507 of the family's 1533-position model. The record is from RNAcentral.